AUGGGAUAUAACACCUACUGACUGACUGUACCAGCUGGACAUGGGAUAUAACACCUACUGACUGACUGACUGUACCAGCUGAACGUAGGAUAUAGCACCUACUGACUGACUGUACCAGCUGGAAAUGGGAUCUAGCACCUACUGACUGACUGUACCAGCAGGACAUGGGAUCUAGCACCUACUGACUGACUGUACCAGCUGGACAUGGGAUAUAGCACCUACUGACUGACUGUACCAGCUCAAUGUAGGAUAUAGAACCUACUGACUGACUGACUGGACCAGCUGGAUGUGGGAUCUAGCACCUACUGACUGACUGUACCAGCUGGACAGGGGAUCUAGCACCUACUGACUGACUGUACCAGCUGGAUGAGGGAUAUAGCACCUACUGACUGACUGUACCAGCUGGACAUGGGAUCUAGCACCUACUGACUGACUGUACCAGCUGGAUGAGGGAUAUAGCACCUACUGACUGACUGUACAAGCUGAGGAUGGGAUCUUGCCCUAACUCUGACUGACUGUACCAGCUGAGGAUGGGAUCUAUCACAUACUGACUGACUGUACCAGCUGAUUAAAUCACUGACUGACUGCACCAGCUGAUUACAUCACUGACUGACUGUACCAGCUGGCAAGGCGAUGGGAUCUAACACCUACUAACUGUCUGACUGACUGACUUUCUGACCGACUGUCUGACUGAUUAGCUGGCUGACUGGCUGGCUGAUUGGCUGACUGGCUGGCUGAUUGGCUGACUGACUGAGUCUCUGACUGACUGGCUGACUGACUGUCCUUCCAUUGCCUUCUCUCCCCGGGGAUUCCAGACGGGAAAACAAAGCCAGAGAACUUGAACCAACUGUAAUGUAACUAGUUAAAGCAGGCAACACACUUGAGUCUGUCUGUCUGUCUGUCUGUCUGUCUGUCUGUCUGUCUGUCUGUCUGUCUGUCUGUCUGUCUGUCUGUCUGUCUGUCUGUCUGUCUGUCUGUCUGUCUGUCUGUCUGUCUGUCUGUCUGUCUGUCUGUCUGUAUAACAAGUCAUGAUUAUUCAAUACUACCAUAAUUAUAUUAAUAUAUUGAUCUGUUAUAGUCAUGAUUAUUCUAUACUACCAUAAUGAUAUUAUUAUAUUGAUCUGUUAUAGUCAUGAUUAUUCAAUACUACCAUAAUUAAAUUAUUAUAUUGAUCUGUUAUAGUCAUGAUUAUUCAAUACUACUAUAAUUAAAUUAUUAUAUUGAUCUGUUAUAUUCAUGAUUAUUCAAUACUACCAUAAUUAAAUUAUUAUAUAGAUCUGUUAUAGUCAUGAUUAUUCAAUACUACCAUAAUUAUAUUAUUCUAUUGAUAUUGUUGGACUGUACAGUACAGUGAGAGACUAUUGUUUGUGGAUACUGUACUUUAUAAAGACGAAGCUGAGAACACUGCUGCUACCUGACGGUGACUGUAACAUUAGGUCUGUACGGUGCCCAUAUUAGGACACUGUCAGUCUCAGCAGGCGUUAUUAGGUCCUGGUAAGACUGAGGAUGUCCUAAUACAGACACCAUAGGUGUGUUAUUUAAUGAUGGUCUGCAUUCCAAAUGGCACCUUGUUCCCUUUGUAGCUGUACUAUUGUUGACCAAGGCCUAUGGUGUUGACCAGGGAUUAUGGUGUUGACCAGGAAUUAUGGUGUUGACCAGGGCCUAUGGUGUUGACCAGGGAUUAUGGUGUAGACCAGGGCCUAUGGUGUUGACCAGGGCCUAUGGUGUUGACCAGGGAUUAUGGUGUUGAACAGGGCCCUAUGGUGUUGACCAGGAUUUAUGGUGUUGACCAGGUCUUAUGGCUGCUGGUGUUGACCAGGUCUUAUGGCUGCUGGUAUUGACCAGGUCUUAUGGCUGCUGGUGUUGACUAGGUCUUAUGGCUGCUGGUGUUGACCAGGUCUUAUGGCUGCUGGUAUUGACCAGGUCUUGUGGCUGCUGGUGUUGACCAGGUCCUAUGGCUGCUGGUAUUGACCAGGUCUUAUGGCUGCUGGUAUUGACCAGGUCCUAUGGCUGCUGGUGUUGACCAGGUCCUAUGGCUGCUGGUGAACAUAGUGCACUAUAGGGGGAACAAGCUGCCAUUUGGAACACAGCCUGGUCUUCCUCUUGAAGACCUUUCUAGCUGUGUUGAUUCGUUCUGUUGUUUGUGCACAGAAAGGGAAUUAAAUACAACAAGGGCACGUUUUUGUUAUUUUUCAACACAAUAUAUUUUGCACUGAGACACAAAAAUGUUAUAAUAGAUGCGUGUAUAAAGCCUCACCGGUGCCACAUUGUCCAAAUGUGUAAAAUAUUGUUGUACUGUGGAAUGUUAAUAGUCUUUUGGAUUGCAAUGUAUCGCCUUUACACACAGUCUGCUGGUUGUCAACACUACAGGCCAUAAAGCCUAAAGAGGGGCAGCUGACUGCCAUAGAAUUACAGGCCAUAAAGCCUAAAGAGGGGCAGCUGACUGCCAUAGAAUUACAGGCCAUAAAGCCUAAAGAGGGGAAGCUGACUGCCAUAGAUCUGUAGUAAGGCCAUAGAGGGGAAGCUGACUGACAUAGAUCUGUAGUAAGUUCAUAGAGGGGAAGCUGCCUGCCAUAGAAUUACAGGCCAUAAAGCCUAAAGAGGGGAAGCUGACUGACAUAGAUCUGUGGUAAGGCCAUAGAAGUGAAGCUGACUGACAUAGAUCUGUGGUAAGGCCAUAGAGGGGAAGCUGCCUGACAUAGAUCUGUAGUAAGGCCAUAGAGUAGAGGGGAAGCUGCUUGCCAUAGAUCUGUAGUAAGGCCAUAGAGGGGAAGCUGACUGCCAUAGAUCUGUAGUAAGGCCAUAGAGGGGAAGCUGCCUGACAUAGAUCUGUAGUAAGGCCAUAGAGGGGAAGCUGCUUGACAUAGAUCUGUAGUAAGGCCAUAGAGGGGAAGCUGCCUGACAUAGAUCUGUAGUAAGGCCAUAGAGGGGAAGCUGCCUGCCAUAGAUCUGUAGUAAGGCCAUAGAGGGGAAGCUGCCUGCCAUAGAUCUGUGGUAAGGCCAUAGAUGGGCGGCUGAUUGUAUAAAACUACAGUACGGCCAUAGAGCUAUAGGCCACAUACAGAGAACAGACAGUACAGGCCAUAAUAUACAGAAGAGCAAUUGAUUGUUUGUUGCUACGUGAAUGCCGUAGAGGUAUGGUAUGGCCGUAUAAAGGGGCAGAUGAAUGCUUGUAGCUACGUGAAUGCCGUAGAGCUAUGGUAUGGCCGUAUAAAGGAGCAGCUGAAUGCUUGUAGCUACGUGAAUGCCGUAGAGCUAUGGUAUGGCCGUAUAAAGGAGCAGCUGAAUGCUUGUAAAUGUAGCUACAGUAUAGCCAUGAAUAUUGCUACAGUUAGAGUUUAGGCCAUAGAGUUACAGUAAUGCUAGAUAUGUUCUGUCCAUUAGAGGCCAAAAGGUUUACUCCAGAGAUAGAGUAUUGACCAUACUUACAGAGAGAGGCAGCUGAAAGCUACAGAAGGCCAAAAGGUUUACUCCAGAGAUAGAGUAUUGACCAUACUUACAGAGAGAGGCAGCUGAAAGCUACAGAAGGCCAAAAGGUUUACUCCAGAGAUAGAGUAUUGACCAUACUUACAGACAGAGGCAGCUGAAAGCUACAGAAGGUCAAAAGGUUUACUCCAGAGACAUCACAAUAAGACCUCAAACCUCCUGUUGUUACAGUCAGGACCUGUUCUACACUGGAACAGAGAAUUCACUAUAAAUAAAUGUUUCUUUUUUUUCUGUACUCAAUGACGUGUUUAUUUGUUUCUGUGUCUCUUAAUGUGGAAUGAGUGGUGAAGUGGAAAACCAGACAUUAUGUUUCAGUAGCUGGUAUAAUGGAAGUCAGCAGUCACCAGUCAUCAACACAGAAGAGAAGAGGCAAGGGGGGGAGAGGAGGUUGAGAGGAUGAGAAGAGAGGGGGAAGAGAGGAGGAGAGGAGGUUGAGAGGAGGUUGAGAGGAGAGGAGAGAGGGGUAGCAGAGGAGAGGGGAAGAGAAGAGGA
Molecule: long non-coding RNA, 3978 nt
Filed under: Salmo salar (Atlantic salmon)
Lineage: Eukaryota; Metazoa; Chordata; Actinopteri; Salmoniformes; Salmonidae
Description: lncRNA (ENSSSAG00000104464.1)
Source: RNAcentral